CGGAGAAGAGCGGCGGACGGGUGAGUAACGCGUGGGUAACCUGCCCUGUACACACGGAUAACAUACCGAAAGGUAUGCUAAUACGAGAUAACAUAAGAACUUCGCAUGUUUUUCUUAUCAAAGCUCCGGCGGUACAGGAUGGACCCGCGUCUGAUUAGCUAGUUGGUGAGGUAACGGCUCACCAAGGCGACGAUCAGUAGCCGACCUGAGAGGGUGAUCGGCCACAUUGGAACUGAGACACGGUCCAAACUCCUACGGGAGGCAGCAGUGGGGAAUAUUGCACAAUGGGCGAAAGCCUGAUGCAGCAACGCCGCGUGAGCGAUGAAGGCCUUCGGGUCGUAAAGCUCUGUCCUCAAGGAAGAUAAUGACGGUACUUGAGGAGGAAGCCCCGGCUAACUACGUGCCAGCAGCCGCGGUAAUACGUAGGGGGCUAGCGUUAUUCGGAUUUACUGGGCGUAAAGGGUGCGUAGGCGGUCUUUUAAGUCAGGAGUGAAAGGCUACGGCUCAACCGUAGUAAGCUCUUGAAACUGGAGGACUUGAGUGCAGGAGAGGAGAGUGGAAUUCCUAGUGUAGCGGUGAAAUGCGUAGAUAUUAGGAGGAACACCAGUAGCGAAGGCGGCUCUCUGGACUGUAACUGACGCUGAGGCACGAAAGCGUGGGGAGCAA
This 666-nucleotide ribosomal RNA is filed under the name uncultured Clostridium sp. RNAcentral describes it as "bacterial SSU rRNA". It matches the Rfam family "Bacterial small subunit ribosomal RNA", at positions 86 to 771 of the family's 1533-position model. Lineage: Bacteria; Bacillati; Bacillota; Clostridia; Eubacteriales; Clostridiaceae. The record is from RNAcentral.